UUUUCCAUACUUUAUAUGGUAUCAUAAAGCUGUAAGUUUUUUUCAAGUUAACGUUUAUGCUUUUUGUUACACGCUUUCCGAAGAUAAGAUUUACCAAACUAAAGAAAGGAUGUAUUCAAAUGGCACAAGGAACUGUAAAAUGGUUUAACGCUACUAAAGGUUUUGGCUUCAUUACAACUGAAGAAGGCAACGAUGUAUUCGUACACUUCUCAGCUAUUCAAACUGAUGGCUUCAAAACUCUUGAUGAAGGCCAAAAAGUUAGCUUUAAUCUUGAAGAAGGCCCACGUGGACCUCAAGCAAUCAACGUUACUAAAUAAUGGUAAUUAAAGCACCUUUACGGUGCUUUUUC
RNAcentral lists this small RNA (349 nucleotides) under Lactococcus garvieae Lg2. RNAcentral's name for it is "cspA thermoregulator". It matches the Rfam family "cspA thermoregulator". Lineage: Bacteria; Bacillati; Bacillota; Bacilli; Lactobacillales; Streptococcaceae. The record is from Rfam by way of RNAcentral.